RNAcentral lists this unclassified non-coding RNA (343 nucleotides) under soil metagenome. Its description in RNAcentral is "partial contains 5.8S ribosomal RNA, internal transcribed spacer 2, and large subunit ribosomal RNA". The stretch from base 1 to 120 matches the Rfam family "5.8S ribosomal RNA", at positions 35 to 154 of the family's 154-position model. The record is from RNAcentral.
GAUGAAGAACGUAGCGAAAUGCGAUAAGUAAUGUGAAUUGCAGAAUUCAGUGAAUCACCGAAUCUUUGAACGCACAUUGCGCCCGCCAGCAUUCUGGCGGGCAUGCCUGUUCGAGCGUCAUUUCAACCCUCGAGCCCCCCCGGGGGCCUCGGUGUUGGGGGACGGCACACCAGCCGCCCCCGAAAUGCAGUGGCGACCCCGCCGCAGCCUCCCCUGCGUAGUAGCACACACCUCGCACCGGAGCGCGGAGGCGGUCACGCCGUAAAACGCCCAACUUUCUUAGAGUUGACCUCGGAUCAGGUAGGAAUACCCGCUGAACUUAAGCAUAUCAAUAAGCGGAGGA